AUUAUGGGACAGGGGAGAAAAAAAAAUAUUCUGAACAAACUGUCCCAUAGUAAGAAACACUAUGGAACAGUUUGUUCAGAAUAUUUUUUUUUUCUGUGUUUCCUC
Pelobates cultripes (western spadefoot toad) is the source of this 105-nucleotide non-coding RNA. The record is from the annotation of a GenBank genome assembly. Lineage: Eukaryota; Metazoa; Chordata; Amphibia; Anura; Pelobatidae.